This 318-nucleotide ribosomal RNA is filed under the name uncultured bacterium. RNAcentral's name for it is "bacterial SSU rRNA". It matches the Rfam family "Bacterial small subunit ribosomal RNA", at positions 32 to 325 of the family's 1533-position model. The record is from RNAcentral.
AAUCAACGCUGGCGGCGUGCCUAACACAUGCAAGUCGAACGCGAAGGGGGCGUUCGGCCCUCGAGUAGAGUGGCGUCCGGGUGAGUAACGCGUGGGUAAGUACUACCCUCCGGGUGGGGAAGUAACCAAUCGAAAGAUUGGCUAAUACCGCAUAAUGCAGCGGCUCGACAUCGAGACAGUUGUUAAAGCCUCUUCGCAAGAAGGGGCGGCCUGAGGAGGAGCCUGCGUCUGAUUAGCUUGUUGGCGGGGUAACGGGCCCACCAAGGCUACGAUCAGUAGCUGGUCUGAGAGGACGGCCAGCCACAAUGGCACUGAAAC